GACGAACGCUGGCGGCGUGCUUAACACAUGCAAGUCGAACGGAAAGGCCCUGCUUUUGUGGGGUGCUCGAGUGGCGAACGGGGGAGUAACACGUGAGUAACCGGCCCUUGACUUUGGGAUAACUUCAGGAAACUGGGGCUAAUACCGGAUAGGAGCUCCUGCUGCAUGGUGGGGGUUGGAAAGUUUCGGCGGUUGGGGAUGGACUCGCGGCUUAUCAGCUUGUUGGUGGGGUAGUGGCUUACCAAGGAUUUGACGGGUAGCCGGCCUGAGAGGGUGACCGGCCACAUUGGGACUGCGAUACGGCCCAGACUCCUACGGGAGGCAGCAGUGGGGAAUAUUGCACAAUGGGCGGAAGCCUGAUGCAGCAACGCCGCGUGCGGGAUGACGGCCUUCGGGUUGUAAACCGCUUUCGCCUGUGACGAAGCGUGAGUGACGGUAAUGGGUAAAGAAGCACCGGCUAACUACGUG
RNAcentral lists this ribosomal RNA (468 nucleotides) under uncultured bacterium. Its description in RNAcentral is "partial 16S ribosomal RNA". It matches the Rfam family "Bacterial small subunit ribosomal RNA", at positions 28 to 507 of the family's 1533-position model. The record is from RNAcentral.